GACGAACGCUGGCGGCGUGCCUAACACAUGCAAGUCGAACGGAGUCGUUCCUUCGGGGACAACUUAGUGGCGAACGGGUGAGUAACGCGUGAGGAACCUGCCUUUCAGUGGGGGACAACAGUUGGAAACGACUGCUAAUACCGCAUAAUACAGUUGAGCGGCAUCGCUUGACUGUCAAAGCUUUAUGUGCUGAAAGAUGGCCUCGCGUCUGAUUAGCUAGUUGGAGGGGUAACGGCCCACCAAGGCGACGAUCAGUAGCCGGUCUGAGAGGAUGAACGGCCACAUUGGGACUGAGACACGGCCCAG
This 306-nucleotide ribosomal RNA is filed under the name uncultured bacterium. Its description in RNAcentral is "bacterial SSU rRNA". It matches the Rfam family "Bacterial small subunit ribosomal RNA", at positions 28 to 334 of the family's 1533-position model. The record is from RNAcentral.